UACAAAGUGUCAGGAUUCCCAAGAGU
RNAcentral lists this non-coding RNA (26 nucleotides) under Rattus norvegicus (Norway rat). The record is from RNAcentral. Lineage: Eukaryota; Metazoa; Chordata; Mammalia; Rodentia; Muridae.